UACGAAGGGGGCUAGCGUUGCUCGGAAUCACUGGGCGUAAAGCGCACGUAGGCGGCUUUCUAAGUCAGAGGUGAAAUCCCGGAGCUCAACUCCGGAACUGCCUUUGAUACUGGAAAGCUUGAGUUCGGGAGAGGUGAGUGGAACUGCGAGUGUAGAGGUGAAAUUCGUAGAUAUUCGCAAGAACACCAGUGGCGAAGGCGGCUCACUGGCCCGAUACUGACGCUGAGGUGCGAAAGCGUGGGGAGCAAACAGG
Molecule: ribosomal RNA, 253 nt
Filed under: uncultured bacterium
Lineage: Bacteria
Description: partial 16S ribosomal RNA
Rfam family: Bacterial small subunit ribosomal RNA
Source: RNAcentral